RNAcentral lists this transfer RNA (72 nucleotides) under Camelus bactrianus (Bactrian camel). It matches the Rfam family "tRNA". Rfam says of the family: Transfer RNA (tRNA) molecules are approximately 80 nucleotides in length. Their secondary structure includes four short double-helical elements and three loops (D, anti-codon, and T loops). RNAcentral also lists the same sequence under 2 other names. The record is from Rfam by way of RNAcentral. Lineage: Eukaryota; Metazoa; Chordata; Mammalia; Artiodactyla; Camelidae.
GGGGGUAUAGCUCAAGGGUAGAGCGUAUGCUUAGCAUGCAUGAGGUCCUAGGUUCAAUCCCCAAUACCUCCA